RNAcentral lists this transfer RNA (74 nucleotides) under Bacteroidales bacterium. Its description in RNAcentral is "tRNA-Glu". It matches the Rfam family "tRNA". Rfam says of the family: Transfer RNA (tRNA) molecules are approximately 80 nucleotides in length. Their secondary structure includes four short double-helical elements and three loops (D, anti-codon, and T loops). RNAcentral also lists the same sequence under 2 other names. The record is from RNAcentral. Lineage: Bacteria; Pseudomonadati; Bacteroidota; Bacteroidia; Bacteroidales.
GCCGCAUUCGUCUAGUGGUCCAGGACAUCUGCCUCUCACGCAGAAGAUCAUCAGUUCGACUCUGAUAUGCGGUA